CCUACGGGAGGCAGCAGUGGGGAAUCUUGCGCAAUGGGCGAAAGCCUGACGCAGCAACGCCGCGUGCGGGAAGAAGGCUCUCGGGUUGUAAACCGCUUUCAGCAGGAACGAAAAUGACGGUACUUGCAGAAGAAGGUGCGGCCAACUACGUGCCAGCAGCCGCGGUGACACGUAGGCACCAAGCGUUGUCCGGAUUUAUUGGGCGUAAAGAGCUCGUAGGCGGUUCGGUAAGUCAGGUGUGAAAACUUUGGGCUUAACCCAAAGCCUGCAUCUGAUACUGCCGUGACUAGAGUUCGGUAGGGGAGUGGGGAAUUCCUAGUGUAGCGGUGAAAUGCGCAGAUAUUAGGAGGAACACCGGUGGCGAAGGCGCCACUCUGGGCCGAAACUGACGCUGAGGAGCGAAAGCGUGGGUAGCAAACAGGAUUAGAUACCCUGGUAGUCCACGCCGUAAACGUUGGGCACUAGGUGUGGGUUCCAACCAACGGAAUCCGCGCCGUCGCUAACGCAUUAAGUGCCCGCCUGGGGAGUACGGCCGCAAGUAAACGUACAAUAGAAUAGAG
This 560-nucleotide ribosomal RNA is filed under the name uncultured bacterium. Its description in RNAcentral is "bacterial SSU rRNA". It matches the Rfam family "Bacterial small subunit ribosomal RNA", at positions 338 to 914 of the family's 1533-position model. The record is from RNAcentral.